This 753-nucleotide ribosomal RNA is filed under the name Curtobacterium sp. Its description in RNAcentral is "bacterial SSU rRNA". It matches the Rfam family "Bacterial small subunit ribosomal RNA", at positions 95 to 859 of the family's 1533-position model. The record is from RNAcentral. Lineage: Bacteria; Bacillati; Actinomycetota; Actinomycetes; Micrococcales; Microbacteriaceae.
GUGGCGAACGGGUGAGUAACACGUGAGUAACCUGCCCCUGACUCUGGGAUAAGCGUUGGAAACGACGUCUAAUACUGGAUAUGAUCACUGGCCGCAUGGUCUGGUGGUGGAAAGAUUUUUUGGUUGGGGAUGGACUCGCGGCCUAUCAGCUUGUUGGUGAGGUAAUGGCUCACCAAGGCGACGACGGGUAGCCGGCCUGAGAGGGUGACCGGCCACACUGGGACUGAGACACGGCCCAGACUCCUACGGGAGGCAGCAGUGGGGAAUAUUGCACAAUGGGCGAAAGCCUGAUGCAGCAACGCCGCGUGAGGGAUGACGGCCUUCGGGUUGUAAACCUCUUUUAGUAGGGAAGAAGCGAAAGUGACGGUACCUGCAGAAAAAGCACCGGCUAACUACGUGCCAGCAGCCGCGGUAAUACGUAGGGUGCAAGCGUUGUCCGGAAUUAUUGGGCGUAAAGAGCUCGUAGGCGGUUUGUCGCGUCUGCUGUGAAAUCCCGAGGCUCAACCUCGGGCUUGCAGUGGGUACGGGCAGACUAGAGUGCGGUAGGGGAGAUUGGAAUUCCUGGUGUAGCGGUGGAAUGCGCAGAUAUCAGGAGGAACACCGAUGGCGAAGGCAGAUCUCUGGGCCGUAACUGACGCUGAGGAGCGAAAGCAUGGGGAGCGAACAGGAUUAGAUACCCUGGUAGUCCAUGCCGUAAACGUUGGGCGCUAGAUGUAGGGACCUUUCCACGGUUUCUGUGUCGUAGCUAACGCA